AGGCAGCAGUGGGGAAUAUUGCACAAUGGGCGCAAGCCUGAUGCAGCGACGCCGCGUGAGGGAUGACGGCCUUCGGGUUGUAAACCUCUUUCAGUAGGGAAGAAGCGAGAGUGACGGUACCUGCAGAAGAAGCACCGGCUAACUACGUGCCAGCAGCCGCGGUAAUACGUAGGGGUGCGAGCGUUAUCCGGAAUUAUUUGGGGCGUAAAAGAGCUCGUAGGCGGUUUUUGUCGCGUCUGUCGUGAAAAGUCCCGGGGGGCUUUAAACCCCCCGGGAUCUGCGGGUGGGGUACGGGGCAGACUAGAGUGCAGUAGGGGGGAGACUGGAAUUCCUGGUGUAGCGGUGGAAUGCGCAGAUAUCAGGAGGAACACCGAUGGCGAAGGCAGGUCUCUGGGCUGUAACUGACGUGAGGAGCGAAAGCAUGGGGGAGCGAACAGGAUUAGAUACCCUGGUAGUCCAUGCCGUAAACGUUGGGCACUAGGUGUGGGGACCAUUCCACGGUUUCCGCGCCGCAGCUAACGCAUUAAGUGCCCCGCCUGGGGAGUACGGCCGCAAGGCUAAAAACUCAAAGGAAUUGACGGGG
RNAcentral lists this ribosomal RNA (583 nucleotides) under Micrococcus luteus. Its description in RNAcentral is "bacterial SSU rRNA". It matches the Rfam family "Bacterial small subunit ribosomal RNA", at positions 346 to 918 of the family's 1533-position model. The record is from RNAcentral. Lineage: Bacteria; Bacillati; Actinomycetota; Actinomycetes; Micrococcales; Micrococcaceae.